CGCAUUUGAUGACGGUGCGGAGGGGAGCAAGAGGUACCAGUCAGAUUUGUGCAGAAUUUGAGACAUACAGAAUUACCAUAGGCCCAUCAGAAUCAACAAUCUUUGCCAAACUUGAUCCGGACUGCAAAACUUACGAAGAUGUUUGCAUACUGAAGAAGAGUCCUUGGACAAAUAAUGAAACCCUCUUGGUGCCCACUACACAGGCAGGGGUGUCCAGACCUGAUCUAAGAAAGCCAGUGUUCUGUGGAGUUCAGCUUUAACACACCUGCCUUCAGGUACUUCAGGUAACUUCAGGUAAGACUUUUUUGUUUUAAAAUUCCCAAGAACCUUGAUUAGCUGGUUCAGGUGUGUUUAAAUGGCUAGAUCACCCAAAAAUAAAC
Molecule: long non-coding RNA, 380 nt
Organism: Carassius auratus (goldfish)
Lineage: Eukaryota; Metazoa; Chordata; Actinopteri; Cypriniformes; Cyprinidae
Exons: 3
Source: RefSeq, a predicted model, not a curated record